This 90-nucleotide transfer RNA is filed under the name Persephonella hydrogeniphila. Its description in RNAcentral is "tRNA_Ser_GCT". It matches the Rfam family "tRNA". Rfam says of the family: Transfer RNA (tRNA) molecules are approximately 80 nucleotides in length. Their secondary structure includes four short double-helical elements and three loops (D, anti-codon, and T loops). Lineage: Bacteria; Pseudomonadati; Aquificota; Aquificia; Aquificales; Hydrogenothermaceae. The record is from RNAcentral.
GGAGAGGUGGCCGAGUGGUCGAAGGCGGCUCCCUGCUAAGGAGUUGAGCGGGUUUUCCCCGCUCCGAGGGUUCGAAUCCCUCCCUCUCCG